Long non-coding RNA from Danio aesculapii, 261 nucleotides. RefSeq lists it as uncharacterized. The transcript is spliced from 3 exons. The record is from RefSeq and is a predicted model, not a curated record. Lineage: Eukaryota; Metazoa; Chordata; Actinopteri; Cypriniformes; Danionidae.
CUGCAUCAAAAGGUUUCCAAGGGCCUUGGAAAAUGAUCAAGAGGUGCCAUGCUCUUCAAAAUGACAGUAUUUCCUGUGGUGUUUUCACAGCUGUGUUUGCUGAAGCCUUUCUAGGAGGUGCAAAGGGGUAUCUUGCAUGCUCACAUGUACAGCAAGAGAGGGAGCGACUAGGGUUGCUUCUCUUCAGCUCACUUGAUAGGUCAGGUUUUUGUGGGAUCUGUCACAAGACUUUAUCUAGGAAGAGCAAGGCAAGUGAUUACA